Molecule: non-coding RNA, 62 nt
Filed under: unclassified sequences
Description: S15-Flavobacteria ribosomal protein leader
Rfam family: S15-Flavobacteria ribosomal protein leader
Source: RNAcentral
UAUCUUUGCCGCUGAUGGAAAAUCCAUUUGUACAUAAAAAUCAUUGAAAUAAUAUUGGAAUG